Molecule: unclassified non-coding RNA, 3141 nt
Filed under: Hevea brasiliensis (rubber tree)
Lineage: Eukaryota; Viridiplantae; Streptophyta; Magnoliopsida; Malpighiales; Euphorbiaceae
Source: RNAcentral
CCAAAGCUAAAAAUCAACAUUAUAACAUGUACUAUAUUUUCAAUUGCCACAACUUGUCAAAAGAGAGCAACAUGAUAGACUCUUGGUAAGAGAAAAUAUGAAUUGUAACUAUUAUUUCAUGUACAGUGGAUGAAGCAUAUUAAUUAGAAUUAAGAGCAUAAAUCACCAAGUGAAGUAAUUAUAUCAUAGAUUUCUUGAGUCAUUCCCGACUCAUCAUAUUGCUCUUUCAAAUCCAUGCCACUGUCUUUCCUGGUCGAGCGGGCCUUAGGAGUAUGAGUCCGAUCCAAAAAGAAAGCAACUAUAAGCGCAACAGUUGGCGGGGAUGAGAAAAUCACUUGCAUUACGUCAUUGAACUGGAAGCAAAGAAAUCACAAGAGCUUCAUCAUUGAAUUAUGAAUCUGAAAUUGUUUAAUGAGCUAUAUUUUACACAAUUAACAGAAAGCUACAUUUGAAACACACGUACCCAGGUGGUUCCUGUGUUAACAGGUCCAUGACCAGAAAGAAAAACGUAUUCCUUGAAGUAUUGAGGCACAGAGAGGCCCAUGAAGAGAGAAAAGCCUAGAAUGAACUUUGAUCUAAAGCUAUUCACGUUGCAAAACUGGAGAUAUUGAAGCCCAGCUGAAGCCACAUAGGGGAAGAGGACAGUGUGGAGGGCUCCCACAAUUGGCAGUGGUAUUGAAGCGAAAAAAGCCCCAACUUUUCCUGUUAGAGACAGAUUAUGACCCCAUCAGAUAUUACAUCGAGUGAGCAAAAUUUUAUAGUACCAAGGACCCUAUGUGCAACAUUGUUUCAGCAGAAAUGAGAUUAAAAAAAGCAACUUAAAGCUCAAUAGAAGUACAAAUGUAAGUAGAUUGAUCCAGACUAGAUAAAGCUGAAAAAAUGUAAAAUAUUGCAGUAUGAGGAAUACUACACCUAAAACGGAAAGGAAAACCAUAAAGAUUGCUGAUACUAUAACGACCCUCCGACUUCCUACUUGUGUUAAUCCUAAAAGACCUGCAUCUUCCACAGAAGCAGUGGAGCCAUUUCCUGUACCAAAUACUGCAUCUAUCAUAGUUCCAAUUCCCUGAAUGCCAAUACCACGAGUCAGGGCAUAGGGAGGUAUAGGAGGAGCACCGCUUAAUUUUGAUGAUGCAUAAAAGGUACCAGAAGACUCAAUAACAGCUACAAGAGAAGCAGCCAUCAUUGAAAGAGCAUCGCCAACUUCAAAAAUGGGAGUUCCCCAUUGAAAUGGUUGUGGAAUCUUUAUCCAAGGAGCAGCACCAAUGAGCCCAGAACUAUCAGAAUGAGAAUUCAUUUGUGUUUCUUGAUGGUUUAUCCAACGAGCAGCACCAUUGAGACUAGAACUAUCAGUACGACAAUUAAUUUGUCUUUCUUGAGAUGUAUUAUCAUAUGCACCAGCUACAGUCAAAAUCUCUGCAUAGGUCCAUACAAUUCCCACAGAAAGUAUGAUUGCUAAUUGACCAACUAUCUCUUUUUUUGCUUUCCAGAUAAGGGGAAGAAACUGCAAUCAGCAAGAUGGAACACUAAGAGUAUUAGGUAAAACCAUUCUGAAAAUUAAACACACAGCACAGUAUAUGUUAUAUGCUCUCCAGCUAACUUGUAUCUACAAUUUAUAUAGUCUUUCCCUUCUCAAAUAGAUAUAUCUCAUCCAACUAGGUAUCAAAACACUCGGGCUUUUACCCAAAUUCACUUAAUUUAUAUUGGAUUUCAAGGUAAUCGCUGAACUUAAAGUAUACGUGAACUUGGAUUUAAGUGAAACAUAAUGUCAAAUUCCUUUACCUCAUUACUUGAAAUCCAUAUCUACCUAAUUGGUGUCUAAUAUAAUUCUAGAAAUAAAACAGGCAAAUAAAAUUUAAAAUUUAGCAAUAGAUUAGAUGCCUGUGAAAUCCUAAUAUAAAAGAAAAUUAGUCUUUAUAUGCCAAUUGAAGUUCAGUAAAUUUGUUGAAAUUCACUGAUAAGUUGAAUUAGGUUUGAUGCAUGUGAAAUCUUUCUAAUGAAGUUGCUUGGAACAGAAAUGAUGAAGCAUGUUACCUGAGUUAAGAAAACCAAUAUAGCUAAAGCUGGGAGUCCAAUUUCAAUACACCUAGCCAACAGCGGAAAUCCACGGACGUACAGCCCAAGUCCCGUGAGUGUUACAAGAGGAACUGAAGCAAGAGGGCUAAGGUGUCUUGCAAAAUAUCUCGCCAAACCAGAGAAACCAAUCACCAUUUGAAAGAAAGACGAAAUGAGACUUGCUCCUUGUACACGUCGUAUGAAUAGUUCAAACCUCUGAUGGGGAUCGAGUGAGUGAUUAAAAUUACUGUAAGUUGAUAAAGCAAUGGAAAUUAUAGGGAUAAUGUAAGCUUGGGAUGUUUCCAUCGACACAGAAAGCCGAGCACCAAAACAAAUCUGCAAAAGUGUAUUUAUUCCCAUUACAAACAACGACGCCUGUAUCGCCCUCGCUUUCUCUACAUUGCCACCUCCGCCCACACUGACCAUCACAGAUGGAACGAUCACUGUACUCCCCACAUUAACUACAAAGUGCUGGAAUCCCCAACCAUAAAGUUUUGGAUUACUCCAGGAAGGAUUUUCCGGAAUGGGAAAUUGGAUAAUGUCUUCUGUCCACCGUGAUUCGGCGGGUCCUCCUCCGCCUGUUCCAGUUGUUCUGCUGCUGCCUGGCUCAGUUGGUCCGCCUCCGUCUGUUCCAGUUUUUCCGCUGCUGCUGCCUGGUUCAGUUGGUCCGCCUCCGCCACCUGUUCCAGUUUUUCCAGUUGUUGUUCUGCUGCUGCCUGGUUCGGUUGUUCCGCCUCUGCCUGAUUCAAUUUUUCCUCCUUGUUCAGUUGGCAGAACUGGGCAAGUGGAACAGGAAGGGACGCAGUAACCAAAUGCAAGUUUAUUUUGUUGGCAAAAAUGGCAGCUAGGGACGCACUGGCAACAAUGGAAUGAAUGGGAAGGAGGACAUGUUGGGAAGUAGUCCAGAGGAGGUAUAUGUUGGCAACAACUGCAGUUGCUGACCAACAUUUCCACACUCCUAAUCUCUUCCCCUUUUGCAACCCAUCACUUUCUCACUCGCCCUAUAUAUCCAUAAAAAAUGUUAGAUAAAAUCUUUUGCUUUUUAUGUUCUUAUGAUGAGACUAAUUAUAAUUAAUAUUAGUAAUAAAA